This is a long non-coding RNA of Lycium ferocissimum, 279 nucleotides long. RefSeq lists it as uncharacterized. The record is from RefSeq and is a predicted model, not a curated record. NCBI's taxonomy places the organism in Eukaryota, Viridiplantae, Streptophyta, Magnoliopsida, Solanales, Solanaceae. The transcript is spliced from 2 exons.
GACAGUGCCACGACCGAGGGUGCACAUGGACCUGCUCUAGUUAGGUCUCUUUUGUUGUAAAUAUCUCUUUUUUUACUUUAUGUAUUUUUGGUUGUGAUUCUCUAGCAAAGUUAUGUCUAGUCCCGUAACUUGGGUUUUUAUUUUUAAAGCAUUAUUAGGGGGGAUCAAGCAAUCAAAACUUUCAAGCAAGCAAUCAAUUCUUUGUACUGGUGUCUCUCCCCCUCGACACCGCUUGCUCUCAUUGUAAUAGCUUUCAUUAAUGCAAACAAGCUCUCUUUC